This 785-nucleotide ribosomal RNA is filed under the name Lepraria neglecta. Its description in RNAcentral is "SSU rRNA". It matches the Rfam family "Bacterial small subunit ribosomal RNA", at positions 331 to 1173 of the family's 1533-position model. Lineage: Eukaryota; Fungi; Ascomycota; Lecanoromycetes; Lecanorales; Stereocaulaceae. The record is from RNAcentral.
GCUGAACCAGCAACUUGGAGGAAUGUAUAGCAAUAGCUGAUUGCACCAACAAAUAGUUGAUGCAAUAUUGACUCUGUCAAAUAAAAUUCUAGGUAGAAUUAUGAUAAUGACAUUGUCUGCCUAUAUGUCUUGACCAAAUUACGUGCCAGCAGUCGCGGUAAUACGUAGAAGACUAGUGUUAUUCAUCUUUAAUAGGUUUAAAGGGUACCUAGACGGUAAAUCAAGCCUUCACAGGGACUAAUUUACUAGAGUUACUUACGAGGGGGUAUUAAAGUACUGCAGGUGUAGAGAUGAAAUUCUGUCAUACCUCUUUUCAAAAGAAAAAUUAUGGCACAGGUAUAGGUGAAAGCAUCCCCUUAUGUGAUAACUGACGUUGAAGGACGAAGGCUUUGUGUCGCGAACAGGAUUAGAUACCCCAGUAGUCAAAGCAGAAAAUGAUGAAUGUCAUAGAUUAGAUAAAUAGUUUAUUCUAUAAAUGAAAAUGUAAGCAUUCCACCUCAAGAGUAAUUUGGCAACAUUGGAACUGAAAUCAUUAGACCGUUUCUGAAACCAGUAGUGAAGUAUGUUGUUUAAUUUGAUGAUCCGCAAAAAACCUUACCACAAUUUGAAUAUUUAUAUCUAUCUUUUUUUUUCGUAAAAAAAUAAAAAGGUAAUAUAUUUACAAGCGUUGCACGGCUGUCUUCAGUUAAUGUCGCGAGACUUUGGUUAGUUCCAUUAAAUUAACGUAAACCCUUACUUUAUUUUUAUAUGAAGUAGUUCCCCGCUAUAUUGGAUAUGAUAACAGG